This is a long non-coding RNA of Vitis vinifera (wine grape), 724 nucleotides long. RefSeq lists it as uncharacterized. The record is from RefSeq and is a predicted model, not a curated record. The transcript has 2 exons. NCBI's taxonomy places the organism in Eukaryota, Viridiplantae, Streptophyta, Magnoliopsida, Vitales, Vitaceae.
GUUUCGCGAUGGACAAGAGUUGGAUGAAUCUUAGAGAUAGGUUGUGUAAGGAAUAUGUAAAUGGUAUAAGGACAUUUAUUCAGGUUGCAAAAAAUCAUGUGAAUAAGGAUGGUAAGAGCCGAUGUCCAUGUCGAGACUGUCAGAAUGCAUUUUGGAAAUCAAUAAAUGAUAUUGAAAUCCACCUUUGUAGGUUUGGAAUAGCAACCACAUAUCAGAGAUGGAUUUUUCAUGGAGAAAAAGUUGAUAUCAAUUACUAUAAACCAGUAGACUUGAAUAGUGGUAUUGACAAGGUAGAUCAUCUUGAUGAUGAUGAUGAUGGUAACCACGAUGACAACAACGAUGAUCUUGUUGAUACAUCUCAAUCCCGAUAUGUGCCUAUGGGAAGCAUUCAAGAGGGGAGUAAAACAGGAGGGAGGCAGUCCUCUCACUGAAUUGGAAAUCACACGGAGUGUUCCGACAAAUAUAGUUGGCUAGUAUAAAAAACGCCACUACUGGUGACUCAUCUCUCCGCUGCAACAUUUUUAGACAUGAUGCAAAAUGUCAUGGUACAAUAGCCACUAAUGGCCCUUUGAAUUGUCAUUCUAUUUAUUUUGAGUAACUUACAUAGCAAAGAAGAACUUUGCUAGCUUGGCUAUGUGGUAACUAUUUACACAGCUGGUCUCCUUUCGGGUUUGAUGGAAGCACAUGAAGAAGUCUGCUUGGAAAUUAAAAGUCUUUCAUGAUA